GAUUACGAUGCGACGCCGCGUGGGGGAUGAAGGCUUUCGAGUCGUAAACCUCUGUGUCACGGGAUGAAUUGCUCGUUGCUGAUAACGCAACGGGUUUGACGUUACCGUGGUAGAAAGCCCCAGCUAACUACGUGCCAGCAGCUGCGGUAAGACGUAGGGGGCAAGCGUUGUCCGGAAUCACUGGGCGUAAAGCGCGCGCAGGCGGUGGUGUCAGUCAGACGUGAAAGGGUUCGGCUCAACCGAACCACUGCGUUUGAUACUACAUCACUUGAGUCUGGAAGAGGAAAGUGGAAUGAACGGUGUAGCGGUGAAAUGCUCAGAUAUCGUUUAGAACACCCGUGGCGAAGGCGGCUUUCUGGUCUAAGACUGACGCUCAUGCGCGAAAGUUUGGGGAGCAACCGGGAUUAGAUACCCCGCUAGUCCUUACUGUAAACGAUGGGUACUAAGUGUAGGGGGUGUUGAUUCCCUCUGUGCUGUAGCUAACGCAUUAAGUACCCCGCCUGGGGAGUACGGCCGCAAGGUUUAAAACUCAAGGUAAUUGACGGGGGGCCGCACAAGCGGUGGAGCAUGUCGCUUAAUUCGACGCAACGCGAAGAACCUUAACCAGGGCUUGACAUCUUAGUGACCGCCAUAGAAAUAUGGUUUUCCCUUGGGACGCUAUGACAGGUACUGCAUGGCUGUCGUCAGCUCGUGUCGUGAGAUGUUUGGGUUUAAGUCCCGCAACGAGCGCAACCCCUGUCUUUAGUUGCCAUCAGGUAAUGCUGGGGACUCUAAAGAGACCGCUUGGUGACGAGCUCAAUC
Molecule: ribosomal RNA, 801 nt
Filed under: uncultured bacterium
Lineage: Bacteria
Description: bacterial SSU rRNA
Rfam family: Bacterial small subunit ribosomal RNA
Source: RNAcentral